Regulatory RNA element from Fictibacillus macauensis ZFHKF-1, 111 nucleotides. It matches the Rfam family "epsC RNA". NCBI's taxonomy places the organism in Bacteria, Bacillati, Bacillota, Bacilli, Caryophanales, Fictibacillaceae. The record is from Rfam.
AAGGGAUGUCUCCUUCCUUUUAUCAAUGGAGGCACUCGGCUAUGCUGUGGGCGAAGAAGGCCUUAGACGUUUGUCGUCGAGAGUAUGGUGUGAGGUUGGGUUAGAUGCCCU